GAUGAACGCUGGCGGCGUGCCUAAUACAUGCAAGUCGAGCGAACGGACGAGAAGCUUGCUUCUCUGAUGUUAGCGGCGGACGGGUGAGUAACACGUGGAUAACCUACCUAUAAGACUGGGAUAACUUCGGGAAACCGGAGCUAAUCCCGGAUAAUAUUUUGAACCGCAUGGUUCAAAAGUGAAAUACGGUCUUGCUGUAAGUUAUAGAUGGAUCCGCGCUGCAUUAGCUAGUUGGUAAGGUAACGGCUUACCAAGGCAACGAUGCAUAGCCGACCUGAGAGGGUGAUCGGCCACACUGGAACUGAGACACGGUCCAGACUCCUACGGGAGGCAGCAGUAGGGAAUCUUCCGCAAUGGGCGAAAGCCUGACGGAGCAACGCCGCGUGAGUGAUGAAGGUCUUCGGAUCGUAAAACUCUGUUAUUAGGGAAGAACAUAUGUGUAAGUAACUGUGCACAUCUUGACGGUACCUAAUCAGAAAGCCACGGCUAACUACGUG
RNAcentral lists this ribosomal RNA (497 nucleotides) under uncultured bacterium. RNAcentral describes it as "partial 16S ribosomal RNA". It matches the Rfam family "Bacterial small subunit ribosomal RNA", at positions 28 to 507 of the family's 1533-position model. The record is from RNAcentral.